Molecule: small nuclear RNA, 107 nt
Filed under: Capra hircus (goat)
Lineage: Eukaryota; Metazoa; Chordata; Mammalia; Artiodactyla; Bovidae
Source: RNAcentral
GUGUUUGCUUUGGCAGCACAUAUACUGAAAUUGGAAUGAUACAGAGAAGAUUAGCAUGGCCCCUGUGCAAGGAUGACAUGCAAAUUCGUGAAGCAUUCCAUAUUCUU